Molecule: transfer RNA, 84 nt
Filed under: Kappaphycus striatus
Lineage: Eukaryota; Rhodophyta; Florideophyceae; Gigartinales; Solieriaceae
Also listed under: 1 other name
Description: tRNA-Tyr
Rfam family: tRNA
About the family: Transfer RNA (tRNA) molecules are approximately 80 nucleotides in length. Their secondary structure includes four short double-helical elements and three loops (D, anti-codon, and T loops).
Source: RNAcentral
GGAGAGAUGGCUGAGCGGUUUAAAGCGGUAGACUGUAAAUCUAUUAAUUUAACAUUUUCGUAGGUUCAAAUCCUACUCUCUUCA